RNAcentral lists this long non-coding RNA (292 nucleotides) under Prunus persica (peach). Its description in RNAcentral is "long non-coding RNA (PPER_LNC007097)". Lineage: Eukaryota; Viridiplantae; Streptophyta; Magnoliopsida; Rosales; Rosaceae. The record is from RNAcentral.
UUUUUCUUCUUCUAGCAAACACCUCAUAAGGAAUAAGGUCUCACAUUCCACAAAAUUAUCCAAAUUUGACAAGAUAUUCCUUUAACUCUUUCUUCUAUUUUCAGUUGAGUUCUUGAUGAUCAUUUCUAUUUUCAGUUAGCUUAUCAAACAAUAAUAUACUGUUUGAUAAGUUACAUUUCCUAUCACUGACCCUUUUGUACAACUAAUCUGGAUGACCAGCCUGAGGUGAGGCCCAGAAACAGAGCCCUUUUGUACAUAUUUCUUGCUAAAAUAUAUAAAUAUUAAAAAAAAA